UACGGAGGGUGCGAGCGUUGUCCGGAAUCACUGGGCGUAAAGAGCUCGUAGGCGGUUUGUCGCGUCUGCUGUGAAAACCCGAGGCUCAACCUCGGGCCUGCAGUGGGUACGGGCAGACUAGAGUGCGGUAGGGGAGAUUGGAAUUCCUGGUGUAGCGGUGGAAUGCGCAGAUAUCAGGAGGAACACCAAUGGCGAAGGCAGAUCUCUGGGCCGUAACUGACGCUGAGGAGCGAAAGCAUGGGGAGCGAACAGG
RNAcentral lists this ribosomal RNA (253 nucleotides) under uncultured bacterium. Its description in RNAcentral is "partial 16S ribosomal RNA". It matches the Rfam family "Bacterial small subunit ribosomal RNA", at positions 524 to 776 of the family's 1533-position model. The record is from RNAcentral.